GAUUAACGCUGGCGGCGUGCCUAAUGCAUGCAAGUCGAACGUGGUCCCUUCGGGGGCAAACGUGGCGGACGGGUGAGGAACACGUGGGGAACCUGCCCAUUGGUGGGGGGUAGCCCGCGGAAACGCGGGGUAAUUCCGCAUACGCUCGCCUGGGGGUAGCCCGGGUGAGGAAAGGGUCUUUCGGGACUCGCCGAUGGAGGGGCCUGCGUCCGAUUAGCUAGUUGGUGGGGUAAUGGCCUACCAAGGCGGUGAUCGGUAGCUGGUCUGAGAGGACGGCCAGCCACAGGGGGACUGAGACACGGCCCCCACUCCUACGGGAGGCAGCAGCAAGGAGUUUUCCGCAAUGGGCGCAAGCCUGACGGAGCAACGCCGCGUGGGGGAUGACACCUUUCGGGGCGUAAACCCCUUUUCUUGGGGACGAAGCAGUGACGGUACCCGAGGAAGAAGGCCCGGCUAACUACGUGCCAGCAGCCGCGGUAAUACGUAGGGGCCGAGCGUUGUCCGGAGUUACUGGGCGUAAAGCGCGCGCAGGCGGCUCGUCAAGCCUGACGUGAAAGCCCCCGGCUCAACCGGGGAGGGUCGUCGGGGACUGGCGGGCUUGAGGUCGGCAGGGGUUGGUGGAAUUCCCGGUGUAGUGGUGAAAUGCGUAGAGAUCGGGAGGAACACCCGUGGCGAAGCGGCCAACUGGGCCGGACCUGACGCUNAGGCGCGAAAGCGUGNGGAGCGAACGGGAUUAGAUACCCCGGUAGUCCACNCAUAACGAUGCAGACUAGGCGUGGGGGGACUUGACCCCUCCGNGCCGCAGCUAACGCGUGAAGUCUGCCGCCUGGGAGUACGGCGCAAGCUAA
RNAcentral lists this ribosomal RNA (848 nucleotides) under uncultured bacterium. Its description in RNAcentral is "bacterial SSU rRNA". It matches the Rfam family "Bacterial small subunit ribosomal RNA", at positions 28 to 897 of the family's 1533-position model. The record is from RNAcentral.